CGCCCUGAGGGGCAAGCGCCAUAGGCGUGAAGCUGGUGCCCGGCUGGCUGCCAGGGGCCCAGCCCCCAUGCGGAGGGUGCCCUGCGGCGGCCUUGGAACCCAGAAACAACUCGGAUAAGGGCACUGCUCCUGACCGUGGGCUGACAGUGGUGGGGAGCAAGAGGUAUGGCCAGAGAGAAGGGGACCCUGAGGUAGACAGAGCUGCAGCAGGCAGAGGUACACUCAAGAGUCAUCCCAUACUGCAGUCCUGAUAGCCAUCGUGACCUUCCUGACCGUCCAGGGCGGCAGCUACUCCAGCUCCCCAGGUACUUGCUGCAGUGGACCCUUCAUCCCAGUCAACUGCAGGUGAGACCCUGGCGAACUGUGAGGCCCCUGCAGGUCACGGGUGCCUCGAGCCCCACUUGGUCACUCAGGGAGCGGAGGGCUGAAGGAACAGGGACAGUACAGGAAGAAGCUGCCGCCCCUGGAGCAAGGGGCAGAAGGGAAGGGGUUGAUGUCACUGGAAGGCUAGAAGCCAGCAUGAGGGGCGUUGAACAUCCAGAGCCCCGGAUCUCUGAGGAGGGGCUGCUGCAAUCUCUCAGGGAAGGAGGGAGCAACAUCAUCAGCUACGAGGGGGACCAGGGCAGGAGGUGAUUUCUGAGGCACCGUCUUCCAGGUCAUUAACUCCUUCUUCAGUGGCAUCUACUUGUGGUUUAAUUAAUUUCUUGAGGUUUUUAUUCAAUGACUGUGCUUUCUUUUUUUAACUUCUAAAAUGCUUUUUCUUUUUCAAAUCUUUUCACUUUACUCGUAUCUUUGUGAUUCCCUCUUCUGUAUCUUUUUGUGUCUCUGGGGGCUACUGCAGAGUACCUUUAUAUCACUAAUGCAAACGAUUUGUAAAUAUCCAUGAGAACUGCUCUCUGAUCUCAGGAGAAUGCAAAGGUGAUGUCAGUCGGUGUUUCAAAGUCCCCGAUUAAGCACAAGAGUAGAAGGUGUUUCUCUUUCUCACCCUCCUCCUUUUGUUAAGUGCUGACCCAAGGCCUGGGGGAUAUUCACCUGGGCUCACCUCUGCCGCCUUCAGGACAAGCUGAUGUACCCCUGGCAGGCCCCGGGAAUCUCCCAGUGACAAGGGAGCCAGGCUGUAGAGCGUAGCCCACAAAGGGGGGAGAGGUCAGGCUUAGAGCCCAGAGUCCUCGAUCCACACCUGGCCUUAGCCACUUGCUAGCUAGUGAUUCAGAACAAGCUACCUAACCCUUGUGUGUCAUGUGGUCCUCAUUUCCUCAUCCAGAGAGUGAGGACAGCAUCCUACCAACCUUGUAGCGCUGUGGAGAGGGUGGGAUGGCUGAGCCCAGGCACAUAGCAAACCCUCGCAGCCAUUGCCAAAAAUGAUGUCAUCUGGCCUCUGACAGUUAUGGCCUGGGGAGGGGGUCGUUGACAGGGCCAGCCCUCUCUUUGACAGACCUGCUGAUUUUCCGUGAGGGCAGGCGGUGGCUUCAGUUGGAGAUUGCGGACCCGCCUUCAGCUGGGCCUCCGGGAGUCCUGAACGGGACGCCUGGGGUGAGGAGUCCUCUCCCGGGCAGGGUUUGCUCCCAGGAGCCCAGCAGUAGCAGCACGAUGGGGGCGCGGGGAGUGGGGGGGGCAGUUCCUCUGGCAGCCAGCGGUUGGCUCGCUGAAGCCUUUCUGCCCGCGGCCGGCCCCGGGAGGUAGCCCCUGCUUAAGGAUGACGUGGGGGCGGGGUUCUCCUCCUGCUCACUCAGACCCAGGCUGGGAUGGACCCACUUCUUUUCAUAUGCCUGUUCUUCCUUUCCACCGUGCAGGUGACCCUUCGAGAGCACUGGUUUUAGGUGGAUUCUCGGUUGUGCUGUCUCACCUUCUGAGGCCCAUUAACUCCGAGCGCCUCGGAAACCCAGCCCCUCCCCCCACCGUUUUCAAGGCUGUUUCCUCAUGGAUCUCCCUCGUGUCCCUGCACUGAAAUAAUAUAACUAGGCUCUUCUCGUUACACAUUUCCUUGUCUUUCUCCCAAACUGGACUGGCAUCCCUGGAAGGCAGGGGCUGGAUGUCUGAGAGGCACUGCUCCCAGUCCCAGCCGAGGCAGCAGCACCCCGCUCCUCCAACACACACACAGUGAUUUGGCCGCAGGCCGACCUACCAGCCUGGGUCCGCAAGGAAUUGACGGACCCAGCAAUUGCACUGGUGGCCGUUUAUGCCAAAGAAAUGGAAACGUUAAGACGACAGGAAAACCUGUACACGAAUGUUCUCAGCAGAUUCCUUUGCAGAAGCCUAAAAGUGGGAACAAGCAAUACGUUCUUCAGUGGGUGAACGCUUGAACCAACCGUGGCUGAUCCCCGCCAAGGACUAGAGCUGGCAAUACAAAGGAAGAACUAACUUAACUAUUGUUGAAACGUGCGACGAUUUGCUGGGCUCUCCAGGGCAUCAUGUGAGUGGAAAAAACAGCCCACCCCAGGUCACACACUGCCCGAUUCCAUUUAUGUCACGGUCUUCAAAUGACAAAAUUAGAGAGAUGAGAACAGAAUUCUGGUUGCCACGGUUGGGAGGAGGGAGGAGGCUGAGGCUAUGAAAGGUCCACGGGAGGGAUACUUGGGAGGACACACACUGGACACUGAUGUCAGUGGGGGUCACGCGCGUGCGUGACACACACACACUGAUAAAACCCGGAGCAGCCGUCAGACGGCACCAUAGGCAUGCCCGCGUUGGGGGAGCGGCGGCAGGGGCUGCGGCCCCUGGGACUUAGUUCCUUCAGAAUGCAAGUUCACAGCAAAAGCACGCAAGCUGCGCCUACUGGACGACUCCCGUGAUUCCGCACCGAGAGUCCACGCUCUCGGGGCGCGGGGGACGUCUGCCAGCUCGCAGAAGGCUGGGCCCCACCGCGGAGGAAGAAAGCGCGCGGGGGCGGAGCCGAGAGGGGCGCGCACGCGGGCGGCUUGUUUUGAUUGGACAGAAGAGGGGCCCGUCACGCCACGGGGCCGAGAUACCUCGGUCACCUGGAGGCGGGUCUAGUCACGAGUCGAGCUUAGUCAUUGGCGGAUCUAGCCGGAAGGGGUGGGCAGGAAGGCGGUGCUCCGUGGUUUCCGGUGGGUGCGCUGAAGGGAGGUGAGGAGAUAGACGCGGGGGCGGUGCGGGUGGGGCCCGGCGCGGCGGGACGACGCCCGGGCCUGCUCGUCAGCGCCCUGGGGCUUUGGACUCCGCCCUCGGCUCCUCUGAGUCCUGGGCUGGGCCAGAGUCCCGGUUCCCCGAGACCCCGGGGGUCUACGCCCUCUCCGGGGGAGAGGCGGAAGAGAAGCCUCCUCAGAGUCCAGGCCCCGGGAGACCUGAGGGCGCCCCUCUCGCCGCUCCUGGCAGGACUCCCACCACUGUCCCGAGGGUGUCUGGCCCUCUAGGUGGCCGGGGAUCGUGUAUUGGGGUCCCCAGGGGCCUGGUGAGUGGGGAGGGAGGGCAGAUGGCAAAGGGCACGGUCUCCGGCUCCCCCCCCCCCGCUAGUCCUGGCCUCUGAGGGCGGCCUUACUCCGCACUUCUUGGAGCUUCCACCCUCCCAGAGCUCAGAAUGUAGCACUCUCCCCGACCCACACACACCCUUGCCCGGCCCACUGUGUUCCAGCGCCCCUGAGUGUGACUGGGACGGCUCUGUGAAGCAUGGAUCCUCCCUCCUCCACGCACAUAUACACACACAAGCUAGUAUCCAGGGAGAGGUGGGCAGAGCUGGGGCCAGUACCCAGAGCCAUGGUAUCUGCCAGAGGUGCCUGUCCAGGCUUCUGGAGGUAGGGUCGUGAGAUGGGCAAGAAGUAACAAAGUCUUCCCCAUGUCACUUGACAGGUGUGGCUUGCUGGGAGGGAAUCCUGCCCAAGCACGCCUGUUCUCCAGGACAACCUGUGGUUGCAGCCAUCAGCCAUCAGUGCCUGCCUCUCUGCCUGCCUGCCUCUCACCUGGGGAGGUCAAGGCGAACCCCGCAGAGAAAGCUCGUGGCUUCUCGAGGAGUGGGCACGAUCAGGGACCAUCCGUCCUGGUGGUUCUCACGCUGGGCCUGGGGAC
Vicugna pacos (alpaca) is the source of this 4023-nucleotide non-coding RNA. NCBI's taxonomy places the organism in Eukaryota, Metazoa, Chordata, Mammalia, Artiodactyla, Camelidae. The record is from RefSeq and is a predicted model, not a curated record.